GCGCUUCUCAGUUUCGUGUCUAAGGCGACGGAGCCUGGCUCCUGCGCAGGCUUCGCUCGCCGCUGCCUGAUCGCCGAGGGCACUGCCUCUCGUUUGAACCCUCUGAGGGAAAGCGGUAAAAGAGGUGUAUUCAGCCGAGGCCUCCGCUGGACUGUCCGGCUGUGGCGAGUUACACGGUGAUGAGCUGCUAAAGGAAGGGCAAAGUCCUUCGUGGCAAAGCACCCAGAUUAAGUACGGAGAGGUGGAUCCUGACAUCAAACCAACCUGCUCCUAAAAAUUACAGUCAGUGACCAGAAAACAAACCAGAUUCGAUCUGACGCAGGUUCCAACCAGCAGCCGGCUGCCAUUUUAUAGAAUCUUGGAGCAACAGAUUGCAAUCCCAAUCAGCCGCAAACAACUGUCUUGAGGAGAUGAUUUCAUCCUCCAUGAACACCACAGAUGAGGUCAGAAUGACUCCAUUGUUUAUCUACAACAAGCCCCUUUGACAUGAGCCUGCUAACAAGAACACAGAUCCUCCAACUUCCAUUCUUGGCCUCCUGGAUUUGUUGAGGUUAAAGUUUAUAUCCUAGAUACACAUAGGGAAAAACAUUUUCUGCUAGCUGAGACUUCCCUUCAUUGCAAAACAAUUCCAAUUGUAAAUUUUCCCAUCUGCAGCUAAUUUACUGCUCCAUAUAAAAAGUCUCCGGGGUAACCACCUUCUGAGACACUCUGGCCCUUGGAUUUGAGGUCCUUUUGCUAUUGCAAUGACUUGAAUAAAGUCAGUAUCCAUAAUUGCUCACUUUUUGUCUUUGACAGUGGGAUAUCAAGAAUCAGAUAGGACAGAAUCUGAGCCUGGGACCCCUGGUUUCCCUGCCCAGGGACUGAGGUCUCUUGGAGCCCUGUGCUUCGGUCCUGAGUCGCAAUCCAGGAAUCCAACAGUGAGCCGAUUUCUGGUCUCCACUCAUAUGUUCCCAUCCUAUAUAGCAGAGUGAGGAUUUGAUUUCUAUUAUUUUUGAGUUCUGGCCUGA
Molecule: non-coding RNA, 1007 nt
Organism: Heterocephalus glaber (naked mole-rat)
Lineage: Eukaryota; Metazoa; Chordata; Mammalia; Rodentia; Bathyergidae
Source: RefSeq, a predicted model, not a curated record